RNAcentral lists this ribosomal RNA (430 nucleotides) under Pseudomonadota bacterium. Its description in RNAcentral is "Proteobacteria bacterium partial 16S ribosomal RNA". It matches the Rfam family "Bacterial small subunit ribosomal RNA", at positions 355 to 776 of the family's 1533-position model. Lineage: Bacteria; Pseudomonadati; Pseudomonadota. The record is from RNAcentral.
UGGGGAAUAUUGGACAAUGGGCGCAAGCCUGAUCCAGCCAUGCCGCGUGUGUGAAGAAGGCCUUAUGGUUGUAAAGCACUUUAAGCGAGGAGGAGGCUACUUUAGUUAAUACCUAGAGAUAGUGGACGUUACCGACAGAAUAAGCACCGGCUAACUCUGUGCCAGCAGCCGCGGUAAUACAGAGGGUGCAAGCGUUAAUCGGAAUUACUGGGCGUAAAGCGCGCGUAGGUGGUUCGUUAAGUUGAAUGUGAAAGCCCCGGGCUCAACCUGGGAACUGCAUCCAAAACUGGCGAGCUAGAGUAGGGCAGAGGGUGGUGGAAUUUCCUGUGUAGCGGUGAAAUGCGUAGAUAUAGGAAGGAACACCAGUGGCGAAGGCGACCACCUGGGCUCAUACUGACACUGAGGUGCGAAAGCGUGGGGAGCAAACAGG